Molecule: ribosomal RNA, 494 nt
Filed under: uncultured bacterium
Lineage: Bacteria
Description: partial 16S ribosomal RNA
Rfam family: Bacterial small subunit ribosomal RNA
Source: RNAcentral
GGCGAACGCUGGCGGCGUGCUUAACACAUGCAAGUCGAACGGUGAAGCGCCUUCCUUUUUGGUGGGUGUGGAUGAGUGGCGAACGGGUGAGUAACACGUGAGUAACCUGCCCCCUUCUUCUGGAUAACCGCAUGAAAGUGUGGCUAAUACGGGAUAUUCUGGGUCUGUCGCAUGAUGGGUCUGGGAAAGAUAUUGUUUCGGUGGGGGAUGGGCUCGCGGCCUAUCAGCUUGUUGGUGGGGUGAUGGCCUACCAAGGCGGUGACGGGUAGCCGGCCUGAGAGGGUGGACGGUCACACUGGGACUGAGACACGGCCCAGACUCCGACGGGAGGCAGCAGUGGGGAAUAUUGCACAAUGGGCGCAAGCCUGAUGCAGCGACGCCGCGUGAGGGAUGGAGGCCUUCGGGUUGUGAACCUCUUUCGCCAGUGAAGCAGGCCUGCCUCGUUUGUGGGUGGGUUGACGGUAGCUGGAUAAGAAGCGCCGGCUAACUACGUG